AUGCUUAACACAUGCAAGUCGAUUCGAUUUACCUUCGGGUAUUGAGGAUGGCGGACGGGUGAGUAACGCGUAAGGAACUUGCCUCUUGGACUGGGACAACUGUUGGAAACGACAGCUAAUACCGGAUAUUAUGAGAUUCUCGCAUGGGAAACUUAUGAAAGCUAUAUGCGCCAAGAGAGAGCCUUGCGUUCCAUUAGCUAGUUGGUGGGGUAAUGGCCCACCAAGGCGACGAUGGAUAGCCGGCCUGAGAGGGUGAACGGCCACAAGGGGACUGAGACACGGCCCUUACUCCUACGGGAGGCAGCAGUGGGGAAUAUUGGACAAUGGGCCACAAGCCUGAUCCAGCAAUUCUGUGUGCACGAUGAAGGUCUUCGGAUCGUAAAGUGCUUUCAGUUGGGAAGAAGAAAGUGACGGUACCAACAGAAGAAGCGACGGCUAAAUAC
Molecule: ribosomal RNA, 443 nt
Filed under: anaerobic bacterium AG23
Lineage: Bacteria
Description: bacterial SSU rRNA
Rfam family: Bacterial small subunit ribosomal RNA
Source: RNAcentral